Molecule: ribosomal RNA, 253 nt
Filed under: uncultured bacterium
Lineage: Bacteria
Description: partial 16S ribosomal RNA
Rfam family: Bacterial small subunit ribosomal RNA
Source: RNAcentral
UACAGAGGGAGCAAGCGUUGUUCGGAAUUACUGGGCGUAAAGGGCGCGUAGGCGGUUCGAUAAGUCCCGUGUGAAAUCCCUCGGCUCAACUGAGGAACUGCACGGGAAACUGACGGGCUUGAGUUCGGGAGAGGGAAGCGGAAUUCCGGGUGUAGCGGUGAAAUGCGUAGAUAUCCGGAGGAACACCGGUGGCGAAGGCGGCUUCCUGGACCGACACUGACGCUGAGGCGCGAAAGCUAGGGGAGCAAACGGG